GAUGAACGCUGGCGGCGUGCCUAAUACAUGCAAGUCGAGCGAACAGACGAGGAGCUUGCUCCUCUGACGUUAGCGGCGGACGGGUGAGUAACACGUGGAUAACCUACCUAUAAGACUGGGAUAACUUCGGGAAACCGGAGCUAAUACCGGAUAAUAUAUUGAACCGCAUGGUUCAAUAGUGAAAGACGGUUUUGCUGUCACUUAUAGAUGGAUCCGUGCCGCAUUAGCUAGUUGGUAAGGUAACGGCUUACCAAGGCAACGAUGCGUAGCCGACCUGAGAGGGUGAUCGGCCACACUGGAACUGAGACACGGUCCAGACUCCUACGGGAGGCAGCAGUAGGGAAUCUUCCGCAAUGGGCGAAAGCCUGACGGAGCAACGCCGCGUGAGUGAUGAAGGUCCUCGGAUCGUAAAACUCUGUUAUUAGGGAAGAACAAAUGUGUAAGUAACUAUGCACGUCUUGACGGUACCUAAUCAGAAAGCCACGGCUAACUACGUG
RNAcentral lists this ribosomal RNA (497 nucleotides) under uncultured bacterium. RNAcentral's name for it is "partial 16S ribosomal RNA". It matches the Rfam family "Bacterial small subunit ribosomal RNA", at positions 28 to 507 of the family's 1533-position model. The record is from RNAcentral.